This 497-nucleotide ribosomal RNA is filed under the name uncultured bacterium. RNAcentral describes it as "partial 16S ribosomal RNA". It matches the Rfam family "Bacterial small subunit ribosomal RNA", at positions 28 to 507 of the family's 1533-position model. The record is from RNAcentral.
GAUGAACGCUGGCGGCGUGCCUAAUACAUGCAAGUCGAGCGAACGGACGAGAAGCUUGCUUCUCUGAUGUUAGCGGCGGACGGGUGAGUAACACGUGGAUAACCUACCUAUAAGACUGGAAUAACUUCGGGAAACCGGAGCUAAUACCGGAUAAUAUUUUGAACCGCAUGGUUCAAAAGUGAAAGACGGUCUUGCUGUCACUUAUAGAUGGAUCCGCUCUGCAUUAGCUAGUUGGUAAGGUAACGGCUUACCAAGGCAACGAUGCAUAGCCGACCUGAGAGGGUGAUCGGCCACACUGGAACUGAGACACGGUCCAGACUCCUACGGGAGGCAGCAGUAGGGAAUCUUCCGCAAUGGGCGAAAGCCUGACGGAGCAACGCCGCGUGAGUGAUGAAGGUCUUCGGAUCGUAAAACUCUGUUAUUAGGGAAGAACAUAUGUGUAAGUAACUGUGCACAUCUUGACGGUACCUAAUCAGAAAGCCACGGCUAACUACGUG